UACGGGGGGGGCAAGCGUUGUCCGGAUUUAUUGGGCGUAAAGAGCUCGUAGGCGGCUCGGUAAGUCGGGUGUGAAAACUCUAGGCUCAACCUAGAGACGCCACCCGAUACUGCUGUGGCUAGAGUCCGGUAGGGGAGCAUGGAAUUCCUGGUGUAGCGGUGAAAUGCGCAGAUAUCAGGAGGAACACCAGUGGCGAAGGCGGUGCUCUGGGCCGGUACUGACGCUGAGGAGCGAAAGCGUGGGGAGCAAACAGG
Molecule: ribosomal RNA, 254 nt
Filed under: uncultured bacterium
Lineage: Bacteria
Description: partial 16S ribosomal RNA
Rfam family: Bacterial small subunit ribosomal RNA
Source: RNAcentral